GAACGCUGGCGGCAGGCCUAACACAUGCAAGUCGAGCGGUAACAGGAUNUAGCUUGCUACNUGCUGACGAGCGGCGGACGGGUGAGUAAUGCAUAGGAAUCUGCCCGAUAGUGGGGGAUAACCUGGGGAAACCCAGGCUAAUACCGCAUACGUCCUACGGGAGAAAGGGGGCUUCGGCUCCCGCUAUUGGAUGAGCCUAUGUCGGAUUAGCUAGUUGGUGAGGUAAAGGCUCACCAAGGCAACGAUCCGUAGCUGGUCUGAGAGGAUGAUCAGCCACAUCGGGACUGAGACACGGCCCGAACUCCUACGGGAGGCAGCAGUGGGGAAUAUUGGACAAUGGGGGCAACCCUGAUCCAGCCAUGCCGCGUGUGUGAAGAAGGCCCUCGGGUUGUAAAGCACUUUCAGCGAGGAAGAACGCCUAUCGGUUAAUACCCGGUAGGAAAGACAUCACUCGCAGAAGAAGCACCGGCUAACUCCGUGCCAGCAGCCGCGGUAAUACGGAGGGUGCAAGCGUUAAUCGGAAUUACUGGGCGUAAAGCGCGCGUAGGUGGCUUGAUAAGCCGGUUGUGAAAGCCCCGGGCUCAACCUGGGAACGGCAUCCGGAACUGUCAGGCUAGAGUGCAGGAGAGGAAGGUAGAAUUCCCGGUGUAGCGGUGAAAUGCGUAGAGAUCGGGAGGAAUACCAGUGGCGAAGGCGGCCUUCUGGACUGACACUGACACUGAGGUGCGAAAGCGUGGGUAGCAAACAGGAUUAGAUACCCUGGUAGUCCACGCCGUAAACGAUGUCGACCAGCCGUUGGGUGCNUAAGCACUUUGUGGCGAA
Molecule: ribosomal RNA, 822 nt
Filed under: Halomonas sp. E25.7
Lineage: Bacteria; Pseudomonadati; Pseudomonadota; Gammaproteobacteria; Oceanospirillales; Halomonadaceae
Description: bacterial SSU rRNA
Rfam family: Bacterial small subunit ribosomal RNA
Source: RNAcentral